CAAUAGCGUAUAUUAAAGUUGUUGCGGUUAAAAAGCUCGUAGUUGGAUUUCUGCUGAGAACGACCGGUCCGCCCUUUGGGUGUGUAUCUGGCUCUUUCUUGGCAUCUUCUUGGUGAACGUUGCUGCACUUGACUGUGUGGAGCGCUACCCAGGACUUUUACUUUGAGGAAAUUAGAGUGUUUCAAGCAGGCAUACGCCUUGAAUACAUUAGCAUGGAAUAAUAAGAUAGGACCUCGGUUCUAUUUUGUUGGUUUCUAGAGCUGAGGUAAUGAUUAAUAGGGAUAGUUGGGGGCAUUCGUAUUUAACUGUCAGAGGUGUAAUUCUUGGAUUUGUUAAAGACGGACUACUGCGAAAGCAUUUGCCAAGGAUGUUUUCAUUGA
Molecule: ribosomal RNA, 380 nt
Filed under: uncultured eukaryote
Lineage: Eukaryota
Description: partial 18S ribosomal RNA
Rfam family: Eukaryotic small subunit ribosomal RNA
Source: RNAcentral